This is a long non-coding RNA of Acinonyx jubatus (cheetah), 10767 nucleotides long. RefSeq lists it as uncharacterized. The transcript has 6 exons. The record is from RefSeq and is a predicted model, not a curated record. NCBI's taxonomy places the organism in Eukaryota, Metazoa, Chordata, Mammalia, Carnivora, Felidae.
GCCACCAUCUCUGCUCCUUUUCUGGCCUCCCUUGUGACCCACACAGCUGUCCUACAGAUUGUGGAAGAAUGUGGGGUCUCUACCUGCGGUCCUCUGCUGUGGAGAAGCCCUUCCUGCUGGAGACGAUGCCAGGAUCUCAGGACACAACCUGACUGCGAUGCCUGAAGUUGUACAGGGGACACAAAUGGGAGAACGGACAAUUCUUCGGAGAUGCCACGUAAGGCAAUGAGGGCUGCUGGGUCACCAUGUCUACAACACGUCAUCAGACGUUUCAAAUACAGGUGGGUGGAUGGAGACGAGGGCAAAAGGGCAGCAGUUGUUGCGUCUGGAUGGAGGCUUCACAAGUGGUUGUAUGUAUGUUCUUUCCGUUGUUGUCUAUGUUUGGAAAUUGUCGAGUAAAAAGGUGGGGAAAACACUACCUGGGUAAGGUAAGACGAACAGCUGCCCUCUCGUGGCUGGUAGUUUUGGGCUCUAGCCGAGGACUUGUGCCUCAAGGUGCAGUGUUUCCCCUAUACUUCGGGGUUCUUUAAAACUUGGGCAUAGUGGCUGUUCACGACAGGUUUCCAUUUUCUGCUCUCUGCCCUGGGGCCACCUCUGUGCCUCUCACUGGCUUCAUCCUCGGCCGGUUGGACCUUCUGAGGAGCCACCAGACCCUGCCCUGGCUGCCAUGGCAACAGAGGAGCAGCCCCUGGAGGAACAUGAAAGAGAAUGGAGAGCCUCUUAUUUUUAAGAUUUCUAGACAUCCGUGGGCUCUGGCAGCGUGGCCAGAGGCAGGUCAGAACAUUCCCCGGGCCAGCAAGCUGUGACCGCCACGGGGCAAACCCAACUGGGACGGAGGCCUGGGCAGGCACCUUCCUGGGGUAUUGGGGCAGGAGCAAGCAGAAAGCCCUAUCUUCACCCACUGCACCCCGUGCCAGCCUCCUUGCUGACCUUGCCUGAAGGUCCCUCCAUCAGCCCCCACAAGCAAAGAGCGGGUGCUGACAUUAAGCCUUGGAGGUUGUUUGAAAAGCUAAUCUUGCCUUAGAAGGCGCCGGGGCUGGUGUGAGAGGAGUCCUUGGACACCCGCAGACAGAAGAUCAUCUAGGGACACGGGAGAAGAUGGCCAGCUACAAGCCAAGGAGAGAGGCUUCUGAAGCAACCAACCCUGCAGACACGAUCUUGAACUUGUAAACCUCCACGACGGCGGCGACAUAAAUUUCAGUUGUUCAGGCCUCCCAGUCUGUGAUGCUUGUCAUGGUGGCCUUAGCCCACUAACACAGUCCCUGUCCCCAGAAUGUCCUGUCUGGUGCCCCAUCUUCUCAUGUCUCUCCACUCUGGGGUCUUCCCUCCCGGGCCACCAGCCCCGGCUUUCACAGUCUCUGAGACAGUUGCAAAUGCAAGACUGGUCAGGACGUUUCUUGAACUGCAGGUGUGCUGGAACCUUCUGGGGAAUGGAGCACAAUGAGCGUGAGCAGGGGGGCUCCGGAGCGCUUCCUGAGAAGGUGUGGUGAGGGUGAGCUCCCCGUGCCCUUUCAUAAAUGGUUCAGCAUAAGCUAACGGCAGCAAGAACCUUCCCUGCAGCCUGCUAGGCGGCCCACAUGCCCAGCAGCAGCAUCCAUUGAAAUAUGACUUUGGGGUUCCUCUCCCUACAUAACUGCCUUCAUCCCCUUUCCAGCGCAACGCCUUGCUUGUACGUCCCAGCCUUGGGAAUUGGUGGAAUAUAGAAUGGCCUGUCCGCGAAAGGCCUCAGCAAGUGCAAGCUGGCCCCGAUUCCCAAGGAAUAACAAUAAAACUAGCACACAGACCCCGUCUCCCAGCUUCGCAUUCCUUCUUUGGCAGAAUGGAGAGGGAAGACCUUUGAGAAGCAGCGAUCCGGGGUGAUCUCCACCCCUCACCCAUUAGUACCAUGCUCACAGCAUCAGGGAGCCCCCGUGACGAGUAUGUGUGAGCGGUAAGAGGACGCCAGUCUGUAGGAUGGGAGCCGUGGACGCUGGCCCGCAGGGGCCCCAUGUGUAAAUGGGAGGAGAGGGCACAUUGUUAGAGAAGGGAAAAAAAUCUACCUACCCCUGGCCUGCUCAUGCCAGGCAGGCUGUCUAGACCCGCGGCCCCAGGCUCUGUCUCCCAACUCUGGACUCUCCUGCCAGUUCUGGGGCCAUUGCUGCUGGUGGGGGUGGUCCCGGGCCAGCCUGUUGGCUCCAGUUCUGGCCUCGGCAGGGGUCUGGUGCAUCACCCACCCUCACCGUACCAAGCUCUGCUGAGAGCAGUGUGCCAGACAUCUACCCAAUGUCUAGUUUCCCCUUCUUCCUACCAGCGGGACCCUGACUGGGGUUGGGGGAUAGCCAUGUGCCCAGGUAAAAUGCUUCCUUGGAUCCUUUGUAGUUAGUGGUGGCCACGUUGACCCAGUUCUGCCCGAUGGAAUAAGAGGGAAGUCGGCGGGGAGAUAUUAAAAAAAGAAAUGACUCAUCUGGCAUGUUCAUCAGCCCUUGACCUCUGACUGCUGACUUCACCCUAUCCCUUUUUGCCUUCCUAGAAGACAGAUUGGAUGCCUGGAGGCUCAGCAGCCAUCUUCCACCCAUGAGGAGAGAAGUCAGUUCUCUGCAGCUGAACACGGUCCUCACUGAGACACAGCUCUUCCUAUGCAAAGUCUGGUAGCUCCUUCUGAAAUCUCAGCACCUACCCCAGCCCCAGAGCAGCCUGGCCCAUGGAUGGUUGGGCCUCUUCCCUGACCCCACCGCACGGAGGUGAUGGCCCGAAGGUAUGGGAUCGCAGGUUUAGAGAAGAAUUGAUCACCUUCCAGGACACCACUCUGUUCACCUUCAUUGUGUUGACUGUGUGAUGUCUGCGCCUUUCUCCCCACCCCCAGGAUGAAGCCCCACACAGAUAAGGGUCUGGGUCUGCUUUGUUCCUUAAUGCCUUUCUAAAAGCCUGGAAGCAUUUCUGGCAUAGAGAAAGCAUUUGCUGACUGGAAUUAAUAGCUAUGUGUCCUAAGCACCAGCUGUUCUGGGCUGACUUGUGUCCCCCCCAGUUUCCAUGUUGAAGUCCUAACCCCAGGACCUCCGAAUGUGAACCGUAUUUUGAUAUGGGUCUUUGGAGAGGUAGUUAAGUUAAAAGGAGGUCAGUAGGGUGGACCCGGAUCCAAUAUGACUGGUGUCCUCGUAAGAAGAACUGAUUAGGGACCCAGAAUGCAGAGAAGGAAGACGAUGUGAAGACACAACAGGAAGAUGCCCAACCACGAGCCCAGGAGAGAAGCCUUAGAAGAAACCAUCCGUGCUGACAUCCUGAUCUCGGACUCCCAGCCUCAGAAUCAUGAGACAUAAAUCUCUGUAGUUUAGGCCACCCACCACGUCCGUGGUCCUUUGCUAUGGUGGCCCUAGCACACAGAUACAGCAGCCAUACCUGACACAGUUUGGAGGGGUUUGUACGUGUUGUCUCAUUUGAUCUGAACCACGAUCUGAAGAGAUAGUACCUACUUUGCAGAUGCAGAAACUAAGGCCAGGAAAUGUUGAUGCGGGGGCCUGAGGAGGCCUACGUGUUGGGGUGCUGGGCCUCAUGGGGCUGGGGUGGGGGAGCCCGGGUUGCUGACCCAACAAGGGCCCCUCCUUAUCUGGAGUUCUGUGGGCAAUCAGGCCAGUCGUCCCUCUGCCCCACUCCCAAACACACCUCGAAACAGGCCCGUGCUAGCCCCUCACACCCCAACCUGCUCUACAGGUUUUUUUAAAUAUUUACUUUUUUUAAAUAAUUUUUUAAUUUUUUUAAUAGUUAUUUUUUUUAGUUUUGAAAGACAGAGACAGAGACAGAGCGUGAGCAGGGGAGGGGCUGAGAGCGAGGGAGACACAAAAUCCAAAGCAGUUUCCAGACUUCACGCUGCCAGCAUAGAUCCCGACGUGGGGCUUGAACCCAAGAACCGUGAGAUCAUGACCUGAGCCGAAGCCAGUCGCUCAAGCCACUGAGCCACCCAGGCGCCCUGCUCCCAGCAGCUGUGUGCAGAGUCCUGCGAUCUGAGACGCUGCCUGACGCUCUAUGGGGCAGUUUCAACGCUGAGGCCAACGGAGGGAGGAGAAAUAAGACAGCUUUGGGGACAGUGACCCUCAAAGCAGUUAUUGCUGAUGUGCUGACCUGCAGGUCUGCGCAGAGAGCCAGGUUCUCCAUGAGGAGGGUGUGGGGAGCCCACGACUCUUUAGCUGCCACUCUUAGCCGGGACAACAGCAGUGGCUCACGUUAAUUGAGGUCCUGGCAGGUGCCAAGCCCCGUGUUAAGUGCAUGAUACAGAGUUUCUCAUUCAGUCAUCUGAGCAGCACUGCAAGAUGGUCACUGAUAUUAUCACCAUUUGACAGCUCGGGAAACUGAGGCUCAGAGAGCUCAAGUAAAUUGACCCCUCAGCUAGGAGGGGUCAGCACUCAGCACUCCAGUGCUGGUUCUCUUCACCAGCAACUCACAUCAGCUGUAUACCCUGCCGUGUGCUUUCUCAGGCUGUAGUUGGUUGGAAAUGUUCCCCCAAACCCCUUGCACUGGGCAGAGAAUUAGGAAGGAAGUUUGUGGGGGGGAGAGGACAGAAACUCUGCCAACCCAUGUGACACAGAUCCGAGCUGCUGAGCGUGUGGCUGGUAACCUCUCCUGCUCGCUCCCGCCUCCCCGCCAACGACCUCCAUCGGGGAGCUGAGGCCAUCCCCUCUGGGUGAAUCCCCCUUCAAGGCCACCCUGUGCUCAUCUCAGCCAGGGUCAUGGGGAAGGCAGAGGUGGCCCCUGCCACCCGCUCGUUGUCAUCGGUGGCUGGUUGCGAAACACCCUGGCCAGUCCAUGGCAGCAAAGGGGGAAGGAAUUCCCUUGGAUAGUUCCCUGGAUAAUUCCAGCCCCUUCCUAGGGGUACAGGGACAGCCUGGGGACAGUCUGAAGUGAGUACCCGGUGGUGAACCGCCUGUGCUCUGUGACAGUGUGGGGCUGAUUCCCUUUGUGCUAAAAGAGUCCCGAGGAGGGGCCAUCUGGGGCUUUGACCGUCUGCCGUGUAAGCUUGGCUUUGGACUUCACAGCCUGGGGCACUGUGGGUCGGAACCUCGGUGCAGGUGAAACAGGGCAGUCUCUUCUCUACUCCUUCCGGAGGGCGGCUGCCGGUGACCUAGCCGUCUCCCCCAAGAGUGGGUGUGGCCCAGUCUGGUGGGGGUGGUGUGCCCCCCACGUCGGAUGUGCCUCUCUGUUAGGGGUUUGGGUCUCGGGUGCGUGUGCCCAGGAGCAUGACCCUUGCCUGCUCGUGGGCCCGCCCCUGUCACCAGACCCCAGGCGGCCUACAGGAAGGUGUUUGGCAUGGGAAGAGGGCAGUGAUGUCCAUGGGCCCAGGGCAAGAGGCAGGAGGACUGGAUGGCCUUGGUGGGAAGCCAAAGUGCAUGACAAGGCUGCAUAGGGCCACGCCUCCUCGCCCGAGUCUGAGGAAGUGGCAAGGCCCCAGCUCCAGGUGCCCGAAAGCCACAGCAGGGCAAAGGCCAAGGGCUUGCACAUCCGGGGCCUCUCAAGCUGCCGGCUGCAGGGAGGGGCUGGGCUGGGCACCAGCUGAUGGAGGAGAGCCUCGAGGGAGGGGGUAUUCCUGUACGUCCUGGUGGGGCUCUCUUGGCAGGGCUCCCCCUUCCCGACCGCACUUAUCCUGCCCUGCAGGCUGCCUUCUGGGCUCUUCUUUAGAAGAAGUGGCGUAACUGUCAUCCUUUCCGACCCUCCCCUCCCCAUAACCUGCAACCCCUCCAAACCCUUAUCUUCACUAUCAGAUGCUCAGCACCCUGCUUCUCAUUUCCUGGAUGACUCUGUGGUUCUAGAAAUUCAGAGCCACUGUGUUCUGAGAAGGUGCUUUCUGUCGCCCCUGGGAAGCGGGCAACACGGGCUUCAUGACUCCACGGGUCGCCCGUGGCUGCUUACAGCAGAAAUGGUGGGAGGAGAGGCCCCGGGGCCUGGGCUAGGGCUGGCUCAACAGGCCAAGUUCUUGACGUGGCUGCAGGCGCUUCGCAGGGACAGCUGGGCCGGCAGGCCUCACAGGGGGAGCGGGAAAGUUCAGGGAGGGAGCGCUGGUGUCUUCCUGGUUGAGGGUAGGGAGCAGGAGCAGGUGGGAGGCAGCGGAGGCCAGGCUAAAGAUGCUGGGGAUACACCGGGCAGGGUAGAGCCAUUGUCAGUGGGAGCAGAGGGCCAGGCAGUUUCCCAAGGCAGGGACUAUCUAUCCCAGGGACUGUGGUCACCGGGGCUGUGGAAGAGGGUCCCCGGGGCCUACCUGAGACGGCUGGGUAAGGCCUGCUCAGCCCAGGUGCUGUUUGCUCCACGGAAAGGCUGUUGGGGUCACCGGGGGCCUAGGAGGAGGCACGUGAGGCCCUCUCUGUGGGUAGGUGUUCAGGUCAGGAUGGGGUCAGAGACAGGAGGACGAGGAACUUUCUUCUGGAAGAGUGCAUUGCUGCUGCAGGGGGCCUGAGGCUGUGGUGGCAUCUCCCCCCAGGAGGGGGCUGGUGGCCAGAGGAGGGAUGACCAGUAUGUGCCAUCCGGUCCCUUUGGGGCUGUGGCAGAGACCUGCGGUUUGGACACGAUAACCACUGAGGGGUCAACUGCCCCAGUUUGGGGAGCAGAGGCUACCACAGCUCCCUUUUGGGGACCCCCUACUCAGCCAAAGGACUAGUUUCUUCCCUUCAUGCAGUAGGUCCUUCCAGGUGCCCACGAAGAACCUGACGUGCACAGGGCACCGUGAGAGAGAAAGGUGAACGAGGCAGAGCCCUGUUUCCAGCCCUGAGGAGAAGCAAAAAGGCCCAUGUGCCCAAAGAUGUCUUUUUUUAAAAUCUUUUUUUAUUUUUAAGACUCAGAGCGUGGGCUCCGGAGUGAGACCGUCGCGGUGGUCUGGGGUGCAGAGCAAGUGACACUGCACUCGGCCCUGAGGGCUGUAUGGGCCACAGACAGAAGGACGACGGGGCAAGGAUGGUGGGAGGGGCACGGGAUGGCCCGAGGAGUCGCGGUGCAAACGGCAACCGCCAGUAGUGACUAGGGAUCCGUAAUCGUAGCCCCGGUCGCUAUGGGCGUAAACCAGAUGUGCCAAAGCGCUGGCUCCGGGCUUGGGAAAUGGUAGCUGUUAAUCCUACAGAAGUUGGCUCCCAGCAAACUGAAAGGCAGAGGUGUGAGUACGAGCCACCCCUUCUUUGCCCCCACGGGCGGGGCUGGGCCCCGGGUGGACCCAGCCCUCUGGAGCUCAGCCCUCCGGGGCUGAGAGCCUGGGGGAUGGCAGGACAGCCCCACGCCUUACACAUGCUGCCCGCACUGCUUGGGACAGCACCGUGUGGGCCCCUCCACAGCGGAUUAAGAUGUCCUUUCACCUUGGUCUGGCCAUUUCCACUGGGGAGAAUAGCAGGGUCAAGGUCCUUUGCAACUCGGGGAGAUGCCUUCACUGCCCUGGAGCGGGAUCUGGGUGUCCUUGCGUGACUCCGAGGGCCCAACUGCGGUUCUGAGGCACUUUGGGGUGUGUUCCAGAACGCAGAUGAGAAAAGCCCACCCCAACCCCACCCACAGAAGCCAGGGCAUCAUUUGGAUGACUGUCUGUGCCUCAGAACCUGCUCCCUGUUCUGAGAUGUGGCCCUGUCACCUACCCAGGUUCUGAUCUUUCCACCCCCUCUCUGACUCCUCUCCCACAUGUACCCCACUGACUCUGACUGUCUCGUCCAACCCUCUCAGACUCUCUCAAAUCUUCCCUCCUCUCCUCCCCGAGGCCCUGUCUUCUCCUGCCUGUUAUUACAUUAGCCUCUCAAUGUCUGGCUCCCCUCCAGACUCUCCCUUUCCGGGCCAUUCUCCAAAGACCAAACCCCACACCAGAAUUCCCCUUAAUGACACUCAAUAACCUUCUAGAUAAAACCCCAGUUCCUCAGCAAACCAGGCUCUCUGUGACAGGGUCCCUCUUUUUCCCACCUGCCUACCUCUUGGACUUUUGGGUCCAGGCCCAUUGAGGUCUCCACCUGAAGCCCCUGGCCCUUGCUUUCUCGGAACUCCCAUACCUUUGUACCUGCUCCCUCUGCCCGGAACACCCAUGCAUCUCAAGCUAACUCCUACUCAAUAUUUACAUCUCUGGUUUACUUUUGUUUAUUUUCUUUUAAACUGGAAAUGUCUAUCGUUUGCUGGCUAUCAGUGUGACCCAGGAUCGCUCUGCUCAGGGGUCACCGCCUUGACAUUCUUUACUCCCCACCUGGGUGCUCUUCACGUGGGUGCCCUGGUGCUGUGAAGAACACACAGGUAGCAUGCGUGAGACUUUUCGUUCUCCAGUUUCUCCUGUUUUAUCCUCCCCAGCAGUUUCUGAGUUGUAUUAGGUGCCGAAUAAAGACAUUGAUUAAAACAUCUAACUUACAGAGCGGCAAAUUCUAUUUCAAAGCUAUAGAUCCAAGGGUACGAAUUUAAAGCUGAGUUUAAUUAUCCCACCAUUCAACUCUGUCUUCAGCCCCCUUUCUGGUUCAUGGCAGAGACGUUAGCCAAUUCCAGAGACCCACCACUUCUGUGACUCUCCUCCCUCACAGUCCAAUUAUGCUCGAUUUAUUUCAUUUCCCCUUCUUCGCUUCUGUAGCAGGAUCCAUGUGGGAUUGCGUCUGUGACAUGUCCAGACGUGGGGGCGAAGAGGUGGGUCAUUGGGAGGCAUUCUGAAGCCUUGCUGGCAUCAGCCCCGUUCUCUGUUUGCAGUUGGCAUCUGUCCCUCAGCCUCUGCUGAGCUGAAUUCUCAGCACGUUACAGAAGACGGAAGGGGACAACCAUUGAGUGCAGGGUCUAGUGGCUUCAUUCGCUUCAAAGAGCCCUUUCCUCCUGCAAAUCCCAAACCUCAAGACCCUACCCUGAGAAAACAGCACCUUAGAGAAGGAGGUGGGUGAGCAGGUGUCCACCUGCUCACCCACCUCCUUCCUCAAAAGUGGGGAGGGACCCGAAGAGAGGACAGAUGUGGAGAAGGUGCCCCUUUAUCUGGUAGAGCACACUUAUGAGUCAAAAAACCCUGUGGGGUCCAGGUUGGUGGUAGGAAGUCCUAAGCACAUUGCUUUGCAUAACGAAGGAGGGAGGAAUAUCUUUGGAGCUGGAGUUGAGGGUGGGGUUCUGGGCAUCAGCAAAGGGGGUGAGUGGGAUGAGUAGAGUGACUGCUGGCAGAAUGGUCAAGGGACCAUUCUUUGUCACUUCCAUGGGAUGGGCCCCAUCUGUCUCCCCAAACUUUCAUAAAGUAGGCUGCACAAACUGAGGGGUUCACCUUUGCAAAGGAAAGGAGGUUCUUUCCAUCCCAUGUUCAAACUCCCUUCCACCCACUUGCCCUUGGAGAGGCCCCCGGGGGAGGCAACCAUAUUUACCCAGAGCCUGCCAUCUUGAUGUGCCCAGCAGCAAGGAGUUCAGUGCCCGGCAUGGCAGACAGUAUUGAAAAGGGUCACCUUUUGGCAGUAGGGUCCCUUGGACAGACUUGGGGCAUGGAGGAAUCAAUCCCCAACCCUCCUCUAUGAACGCAUUUGGCGAUCUUCAUGCCAAUGGUCUGUAAAAGAAAAAAUGUCCCCAAACUGCAAGGGGACAGAACUUUUUUGCGUGUGAUGAAGUUAGCAAUUUUCUUCUGGGAAGAACUCAGCAUUCCUGAUGAAAUGCACGAGCAGAUUUCUGAUGAACUUCAAUGGAACGAAACCAGUGCCCUGCCCACCCAGUUGCCUUGAAGAAGGAAGGGGGCAGCGGAUAUGCCUGCAUAUAACAGAGACAUGGAAAUAGCUCUUUCCCAGCUCCUCCCCCGAAGAGAGGCUGUCACGCAAACAAAUGCCCUAAAAUAACAAUAAAAUAUGCGGUAGAGCGUCCCCUGGAGUCUGAAUGGACUCAGACAGAAACAAGCCCACGGCCACUGUGUGCCGAGAUGGGUCGUGGGUGGGAGCACCGCCCACUGGGGGAUGACGGAGCUGUGCAUCAUGAAUGGGAUCCUCUGUUUCUUUGUCCAGAGGAGGGUCGUGGCCCCGCCUCCGUUCCUUGAAGGCUGGGAUGAUCAAAUAAUCCCCAAGGAUUAGGUGGGGACAUACCUGGAAAAGAGGAAGGCAGCUCGUAAAUCAGGGAUUUAUUAUGAUUACCAUCUGAUUCAGAGAUAAUCUGCCUCACGCCAGUGAAGUUCAAGAUGCAGGUUCUAUGCUGUUCUUCCUAAAAUAGGCCUUCUUUUCGGCGGCGUGCAAUUCCCCAACCACCCACCUUCGCCCCGUGCAUUUUCUCUUUGCUUGCUCCAGCCUCGAAGCCUCUGAAGUGCAUGGCUUCCUUCCUCCCUGCGACAGCUUCCUGACUCUCUUCUGAGGCCUCCCACGCAGGCUCCCCAACAUACAGACCGGCCCAGCCCCUCCCCAGCAGGCCCCCGCUGCUUGUUUUCAGCAAAGCCAAGGCCACCCGAGCCGGUGUUGGGAGAACAGGGCUACUCACCUUCCCAGCCCACAGCGGCCCCUGCCCAGCUUCUGCCCACCCCUAGCCCAGGCCCGGCGAGGUCUGCCUCUUUGCUGAUUAUGAGAUAGCUCAUGUCUGUUAGGUCUGCCUGAAUAAGCUCUUUUGUCCCAGAGAAUUUUCCCAUGUCAAACAUUUAGUCUGUUGUGUUAUGGGUCAGUGAGCAAGGAGAUAAGUCUGAAUUCUUAAACAACCUUGUGAACGCAAGACAUCUGUCUGAAAGGCAAUCAAACAACAUCUGUCACGCUGUCCCUAGCUUUCAAGACACUCAAAAAAGCAAAUCAUUAUUUUAUGUCUUUGUUCUUAGAGAAAUACAUUUCAUUUAUUUAUUUAUUUCAUUUGAAGCUCAAAUCUUCCUUUUCUUUUUUC